This 71-nucleotide transfer RNA is filed under the name Phrynosoma platyrhinos (Desert horned lizard). RNAcentral describes it as "tRNA-OTHER". Lineage: Eukaryota; Metazoa; Chordata; Lepidosauria; Squamata; Phrynosomatidae. The record is from RNAcentral.
ACCAGCGUGGCAUAGUUGUUUGAGUGUUGGACUAGGACUCUGGAGACCAGGGUUUGAAUCCCGGCUUGGUC